UCUGAUUGAUUUCAACUCAAGUCUCUGAAGUGAAUAUCCAGCCUUUGGUUCCAUGUUUUUCUAUAUUUACUUCAUAUUCCCUGAACCAUCUAUGUGAACAUUUUAACAUAAAUGCAAAUUGGAAAAGGGAAAAAUUAAAUGUAAAAAUCCAUAUUCUCUGCCUUGUCCAUGACUUAUUCUUUUCCUUGUCCAUGACUUAUUAAAAAUCCAUAUGCUUGUGAGAAUAUUUUACAGCAGCAUCCAGAUAACUGAUUUUAGAUUUUCCAUAUAAUUAACCCCUCUAGAUAAUAGAAAAAUAUCUCCUUAUGGUUUUCUGAUGGUAAAUUUGAGAAUGAAGUUUUGAGACUUGAUCUCUCAGCUGCAAGCUGUAAAAAUUGCACUCAAAUUUGUUUGGCAACUUGUUCUCAAACACUCCAUCACUGCUAUCUACAAGCAAUCCUAUAGGAUUUGGUCAAACAACUAUAAGUCACUCUUAAAACUCAUAAUUAAGUUUCUCUAUGUGGCAAUGUUUAAGUAGUUGAUAUUUUAGGGGUGAUAGUUGGAACCUAGGUUGCUUGCAUGGGCAUGAUGUAUGAUGUACUGGAUUCAGAAAAUUGAUAAGUUUUGAUAUGUGGACAUGUUGGUAUUUCCAACUAAUGUAGUGUCUAAGUACAGUAUCUAUAAAAUGUUUUAGCGCAUAUUUUUGCACUCCACAUAUGCCAAUAUGCACCAUGUGGGAAAAAUGGCUUUCCAUCUUCAUUGAUUUUCAUUUAAAAAUUUCUUAGAAAUUGUACUGUGUACUUCAUAGAUGAAAAUUGUUAAUCUCCAUGCAAAGGAAACUUCUUACAUGAAGCUGUAGAGUGACACUUGCCUGAACAUGUCUGAUAUUGUUACAUUAUAAUUUAUAGGCAUCUCAUUGUUGUUUGUUCUUAAGAAUCUGAUUUCUUCGUGUUUUAAUUUUUGAGACCUCUAUGUUCUUUUGUCAAUAUGGAUUUAAUUUCUUCUCUUCUUCAGCCCUCACUUUCAACACCUUUCCACUCUGUUCAACCUGCUCAGACAACAGGUUCUUUUGGGUUUGGGAACUUUGGUCAAACACAAGCAGCUGGUACAAGUGGUUUUGGAGGCAUGCCAAGCAUUUUUGGUCAGAGUACUUUUGAACAAUCGGAUUAACCUGAUGAAAUGAUGUCCUGACUGAACAUAUUCUAUGUAAAAGCAUGAGGUGACAUUGGAUGAAAUUUCAACAUUAUGUUGCUUGAAAGAUGGAUACCCUUGUUAUGGUUAUAAUAUUGUUAUGUUCACACUAUUUAUCCUUGUUUCUAUGAUCGGUAAAAUACAUCCUUUUCAGACUUUGAUUAUGAUAUAUGUAUUACUAUUGUUCAGUGAACUGACUGAAAUGUUAAAACUAUUUG
Camellia sinensis is the source of this 1388-nucleotide non-coding RNA. Lineage: Eukaryota; Viridiplantae; Streptophyta; Magnoliopsida; Ericales; Theaceae. The record is from RefSeq and is a predicted model, not a curated record.